UACACUGAUGAUUAUUUUCAGGGAGAGAUUGGAUCUCAAGGCUUUGGUGGACCACCAGGCCCACCUGUAAGUAAUAUACCACUGCAAUGUCUUCAUAAAAGUGAUAAAAUAGUGAUGUUGGGUUAUAUAAUGAGAUAUGAAGUGCAUUCAUUAUCUGUCCUCUAAUCAGGGAAAAAUGUGCCCCAGAGGAGUUAAAGGUGUCCUCGGAGUUAAAGGACCUCCGGGUCAUCAAGGUGAACUGGGUGCCAGAGGAGCAGCUGGACCACAGGGAGAGCGUGGUCCUGAUGGAGCAGUUUGGUUUCCCGGUGUCCGUGGCCCCCAGGGAAAACCAGGACCAGGUGGACCUCCGGGUCCUAAAGGAGACCCUGGUAAUCCAGGAGACGAAGGGGAUAUAGGGGAACCUGGACCAUCUGGACUUAAUGGAGCCAAUGGGAAUCCAGGAAAGUCUGGACCCUCAGGUGAUCCUGGGGCGAAAGCCAAGCGAGGUGAUAAGGGUGAUCCAGGGUUCAAGGGAGACCUGGGACCUCCAGGACCUCCAGGUAAACAAGGAUUGAAGGGGCGUCGAGGCCCUUCAGGACUUGAGGGACUUGGAGGACCAACAGGGCCACCAGGACUUCCUGGAUCCAGUGGCUUUGAUGGCAUCAUGGGGGAGCAAGGGAAGCAGGGAAAAGAUGGACUGAAGGGAGAUCGAGGGCCAGAUGGCAUUCAUGGAGUUCCUGGACCUCGAGGCGACAAGGGUCGAGAAGCUCGAGCAGGAUUUUCUGGAAUGCCAGGUCCAAUUGGAGAGAUGGGAAAAUCUGGAGAGAGAGGACGUGAAGGAGAACCUGGUAUUAAGGUUCCUAUGUGGCUACACUUUUUAUUCUGUCCUUGUGUGACCACAGCGUCCAGUCCCAACAUAUAUUCACUUACUACUCACUGUUCAUUUUUAAUAGUUUUUCAUAAUACGUGUGAUUAGAUGGCUUUAAUUAACAGUUUUAACAUAGUUACAUAACAUAACAUAGUUUUGAAGCUGUUUAUUAUAUCUUUACAAUUAUAUCUGUAGAUUGUAGACUAAAAAAAAUCUUUCCAAACAACAGCCAUUUCCCAUUUAAACGUCUAUUUAUAAGUCUAUAAUUUUAGUCUGUCCAAAAAUAAUGUUUAUGCAAUUUAUGGUAUGUUUAUGGUAGGUUUAUGGUACCUCUCAAAUUGUUGCUGAUAUAGAUGUUAAAGAGGCCAUGUGUUUUAUAUAUGUAAACCUUUUGUGUAGGGAUUGAUUGGAGUCCUUGGAGUUACUGGACCUAAAGGCCUGAAGGUGAUCAGAAUUAUAUAAAUAAUGUCAAAUAUUGUUGGCUAUUAAAAUGAUGAGUCUGAUUUAAAAUUGUAAUACUUGGAGGAUGAUAUUAUUUGAGUAAUUUUAAGUAUUGGUUAAUGAAUGUCGUGUAACGUUUCACUCCAGUACAGAUAACGGCAAUUUUGGAAUUGAAUUAGUCAUAUAUUUCAUCCAAAAAAACUACAUAAAGAUCUCACAUUAUCUGUGUCUCAUUUUAGGGAUUUCCAGGUCAUUUAGGUAACAGGGGACAGGAUGGACCUCCUGGAGCUCUGGUAAGACCAACCAACAAUAUGUUUCUUGUUUUUGACUUUGUUCAAUCACAUUUCACCUUCAUAAACUCUAUCAUCAUGUAAGUGUAGCAUCGGCCUCCGGACGAGAAAGGCCUCUCUAAUUAAUGUUGUGUAAGCUCCACUGAUUUUUCCAAAGCAACAAAGUGAUUGGUAGUUUUGGAGAUAAACAGCACAAUCUGAAAAAAUGCUGUUGAUUAGUAUACCAAAAUUAGGUGCAAUAUACAUCCUAUAAGUUUAAGUGUGGUGUUCUCUUUUUUUGAAUAAAGGACUAUAUUUCUCAGAAAUUACUCAUCAGUGGGACGAUUCAAGGGAUAGUUUGGAUGUUUUGAAGUGGGGUUGAAUGAGGUUUGCAUCCAUAGCCAUCGAUGACGUUUGGCACGUCCCCAGCUUGGAGAAGUAGACAGGAGUAACCAUACGGAGUCAAUGCCAUGUACUGCUGUGGAUGGGGGCAGCGGCAAAAGGUGUUUUAGCCAUGGACCGUGUAAAAAAAAUGUAUAUUGGUUUCAGUGUACGCUAUAUUUAGAAUAUUUUCACCACUUUACCUUGCUGUCAGACAGCCCUUUCUUACAGAGAACUGAAGCCUUAGUACCCAUAUAUGCUCUCUUCAAAACUACCAGACUCCAUUGAAAAAAAAACUCUAACUAAUUGAUUGAGGCAGCGAUAGACUAGCAACUCCCUUGUUCUGUGAUGGAAUACAAACGGUGCACAUAUUCUAAACAUAGUGCACACUUAGGUGGCUAAAGUACGUUUUGCGGCCGUCCCCGUCUGCAACAGUACAUUGGUUAGCAUCCAUGCUGGUACUCCUGUCUACUUUUCCAAGCUGGGAGCAUGCCUACCGUCAUUGAAUGCAAGUAAUACACUAUAGAUAAGCAUCUCAUACAACCCCACUCAAUAACAUCAGAGGUAACACAGAAUAGGUACAGAUAUGUGAUAACCUAAUAUCAUAUUUCUGUCAGGGACACAUUGGUUCAGAAGGAAUGAAUGGGGACACUGGACCUACAGGACUAAAAGGACUGCCUGGGAAGACAGGAGCUUCUGGCCUCCAAGGACCCGUAGGGAAGAGUGGAGAAGCUGG
Anarrhichthys ocellatus (wolf-eel) is the source of this 2674-nucleotide RNA transcript. It is a transcript of the gene named collagen alpha-1(I) chain-like, with no coding region annotated. NCBI's taxonomy places the organism in Eukaryota, Metazoa, Chordata, Actinopteri, Perciformes, Anarhichadidae. The record is from RefSeq and is a predicted model, not a curated record. The transcript is spliced from 14 exons.